Molecule: unclassified non-coding RNA, 598 nt
Filed under: Hevea brasiliensis (rubber tree)
Lineage: Eukaryota; Viridiplantae; Streptophyta; Magnoliopsida; Malpighiales; Euphorbiaceae
Source: RNAcentral
GAGAGAGAGAGAGAGAGAGAGCUACAAGCAGCACCUUUUUCUACCUUUUUUGCUCAUAAUGUAUUAAAGUUGGAAACUUUAGGUAUGGGUUCUCGCAAAAUUGUGGAUAGAAUGAUGCAAAUAUUGACAAAAUGGCCAUGUAAUGUGCUUGCAAAUGGCACUACUUUUGCGGCCAAUAUUGAGGCAGAAAUACCAAAACUAAAACUGUAUGAAAAAAAAAAAAUCUAAAGUUUUAAAAUUCUGCAUCAUGUUCAUUCAUCUCCUAAAAUCAAAUCUGAUCUCUGCAAACUCCUAAUUUCAAAUGGAAUUCUAUAGAGAGAGAAAAUACUAUCCUUUAUUGAUACAAUAACAUCUCCACUCUGCAGGCAAAGCUCACAGAUUUCUGCAGAAAUAUAAGCCCGCAAUAACAAGAAAAUUACACAACCAAGAAAAACAAACAACUCCGGACACAGAUACCCAGGAAUCAACCAUCAAAUUUAAACCAAAGAGAAGAAGAAAAAAGAGAAUGUAUACUGAAGAGAUCCUUCCUAAUUAAUCUAACCUCAAAUUGCAGAGCAAGAGAUCCAAGAACCUAGACCAAAAGUGCCUUGCACGUGGA